GAGCUCCCACUUUGGCAGCAUAUAUACUAAAAUUGGAAUGAUACAGAGAAGAUUAGCGUGGCCCGUGUGUAAGGAUGGCAUGAAAACUCGUGGUGUCCCAUAUAAAAAU
Nomascus leucogenys (northern white-cheeked gibbon) is the source of this 109-nucleotide small nuclear RNA. NCBI's taxonomy places the organism in Eukaryota, Metazoa, Chordata, Mammalia, Primates, Hylobatidae. The record is from Rfam.